CAGUAGCCGCGGGAAUACGUAGGGUGCGAGCGUUAAUCGGAAUUACUGGGCGUAAAGCGUGCGCAGGCGGUUAUAUAAGACAGAUGUGAAAUCCCCGGGCUCAACCUGGGACCUGCAUUUGUGACUGUAUAGCUAGAGUACGGUAGAGGGGGAUGGAAUUCCGCGUGUAGCAGUGAAAUGCGUAGAUAUGCGGAGGAACACCGAUGGCGGAGGCAAUCCCCUGGACCUGUACUGACGCUCACGCACGAAAGCGUGGGGAGCAGACAGGAUUAGAGACCCCAGUAGUCCCUGUCUCUUAUAC
This 301-nucleotide ribosomal RNA is filed under the name uncultured bacterium. Its description in RNAcentral is "partial 16S ribosomal RNA". It matches the Rfam family "Bacterial small subunit ribosomal RNA", at positions 509 to 807 of the family's 1533-position model. The record is from RNAcentral.